RNAcentral lists this ribosomal RNA (258 nucleotides) under uncultured bacterium. RNAcentral's name for it is "partial 16S ribosomal RNA". It matches the Rfam family "Bacterial small subunit ribosomal RNA", at positions 524 to 777 of the family's 1533-position model. The record is from RNAcentral.
UACGGAGGGGGGCAAGCGUUGUUCGGAAUUACUGGGCGUAAAGGGCGCGCAGGCGGCUGCUCAAGUCAGGCGUGAAAGGCCUGGGCUCAACCCGGGAAUUGCGCUUGAGACUGGGCUGGCUUGAGUCCGGAAGAGGGGGGCGGAAUUCCCAGUGUAGCGGUGAAAUGCGUAGAUGAUUGGGAGGAACACCAGUGGCGAAGGCGGUCCCCUGGGCCGGAACUGACGCUGAGGCGCGAAAGCGGUGGGUAGCAAACGGGG